AGUUAGGUGAGAAGACCCGCUGAAUUUAAGCAUAU
RNAcentral lists this ribosomal RNA (35 nucleotides) under Pyemotes sp. PA1. RNAcentral's name for it is "partial 28S ribosomal RNA". The record is from RNAcentral. Lineage: Eukaryota; Metazoa; Arthropoda; Arachnida; Trombidiformes; Pyemotidae. RNAcentral also lists the same sequence under 7 other names.